This 247-nucleotide ribosomal RNA is filed under the name Salmonella enterica. Its description in RNAcentral is "partial 16S ribosomal RNA". It matches the Rfam family "Bacterial small subunit ribosomal RNA", at positions 1 to 246 of the family's 1533-position model. RNAcentral also lists the same sequence under 3 other names. The record is from RNAcentral. Lineage: Bacteria; Pseudomonadati; Pseudomonadota; Gammaproteobacteria; Enterobacterales; Enterobacteriaceae.
AAAUUGAAGAGUUUGAUCAUGGCUCAGAUUGAACGCUGGCGGCAGGCCUAACACAUGCAAGUCGAACGGUAGCACAGAGAGCUUGCUCUCGGGUGACGAGUGGCGGACGGGUGAGUAAUGUCUGGGAAACUGCCUGAUGGAGGGGGAUAACUACUGGAAACGGUAGCUAAUACCGCAUAACGUCGCAAGACCAAAGAGGGGGACCUUCGGGCCUCUUGCCAUCAGAUGUGCCCAGAUGGGAUUAGCU